AUGAGGAGGCCGCGGCGGGGACAGCGAAAAGUCAUUCCCGUGCGCACAGGCGGUCGCCGUGGGCAGCCCGGAGGCAGCCGCCGCCACGUUCCCACGCACGCUGCAGGGCAGAGCGGGCGACACUUGGGUCCAGAGACCCGUGGCACGCCACUCUCCCGGAGAGGCGGCGACGAGAUGGGCCUGGACUGGCGGCUACCGCAGCCUAUGGCGCGACCACCGCUGUGUUUGCAGGGUUCGCACUGGCAGAGAACCCUUUUAGUCUUUGCACCAGGAAUCUCAUAUGCUUCCAAAUGUUUUACAAAACACAGUAAAAAAGGAUUUCAGCUUUCCCAUCUGCCAUCUGCAGUGGAGCCGCCACCAAAAUGCAUUUUCGUGAAAACCCUUAGGGGGAAGGCCAUCACCCUCGAGGUCAAACCCUCGGAUAAGAUAGAAAAUGUAAAGGCCACAAUCCAGGAUGAGGAAGGAAUUCCUCCUGAUCAGCAAAGACUGAUCUUUGCUAGCAAGCAGCUGGAAGAUGGACGUACUUUGUCUGACUACAAUGUUCAAAAGGAGUCUACUCUUCAUCUUGUGUUGAGACUUCGUGGUGCUGCUAAGAAAAGGAAGAAGUCUUAUACCACUCCCAAGAAGAAUACGCACAAGAGAAAGAAGGUUAAGCUGGCUGUCCUGAAAUACUAUAAAGGGGAUGAGAAUGGCAAAAUUAGUCGCCUUGGUUGAGAGUGCCCUUCUGAUGAAUAUGGUGCUGGAGUGUUUACGGCAAGCCACUUUGACAGACAUUGUGGCAAAUAUUGUUAGACUUACUGUUUCAACAAACCAGAAGACAAGUAA
Molecule: RNA transcript, 825 nt
Organism: Sapajus apella (tufted capuchin)
Lineage: Eukaryota; Metazoa; Chordata; Mammalia; Primates; Cebidae
Gene name: ubiquitin-40S ribosomal protein S27a pseudogene
Exons: 2
Source: RefSeq, a predicted model, not a curated record